RNAcentral lists this ribosomal RNA (465 nucleotides) under uncultured bacterium. RNAcentral describes it as "partial 16S ribosomal RNA". It matches the Rfam family "Bacterial small subunit ribosomal RNA", at positions 338 to 795 of the family's 1533-position model. The record is from RNAcentral.
CCUACGGGCGGCAGCAGUAGGGAAUCUUCCACAAUGGGCGAAAGCCUGAUGGAGCAACGCCGCGUGGGUGAAGAAGGUCUUCGGAUCGUAAAACCCUGUUGUUAGAGAAGAAAGUGCGUGAGCGUAACUGUUCACGUUUCGACGGUAUCUAACCAGAAAGCCACGGCUAACUCCGUCCCAGCAGCCGCGGUAAGACGUAGGUGGCAAGCGUUAUCCGGAUUUGUUGGGCGUAAAGGGAACGCAGGCGGUCUUUUAAGUCUGAUGUGAAAGCCUUCGGCUUAACCGGAGUAGUGCAUUGGAAACUGGGAGACUUGAGUGCAGAAGAGGAGAGUGGAACUCAAUGUGUAGCGGUGAAAUGCGUAGAUAUAUGGAAGAACACCAGUGGCGAAAGCGGCUCUCUGGUCUGUAACUGACGCUGAGGUUCGAAAGCGUGGGUAGCAAACAGGAUUAGAUACCCUAGUAGUC